GACGAACGCUGGCGGCGGGCUUAACACAUGCAAGUCGAACGGAAGCGCCCUGAGUUUGUGGUGUUCUCGGUGGGCGGACGCGGGCGUGUGAGGUGUGUAACGGGCCCUUGACUUUCGGAUAGCUUCAGGAAACGGGAGCUAAGAUCGUAUAGCAUAUGCUGCAGCGUGGUGGGCAUUGGAAAGUUUCGGCUGGUGGGGAUGGACUCGCGGCUUAUGAGCUUGUUGGUGGGGUAGUGGCUGACCAAGGCUGGGACGGGUACCCGGCCGGUGUGGGUGACAGGCGACACUGGGACCGAGAUACGGCCCAGACUCCGACGGGAGGCAGCAGUGGGGAAGAUUGCACAAUGGGCGGAAGGCUGAUGCAGCAAGGCCGCGUGCGGGAUGACGGCCUUCGGGUUGUAAACCGCUUUCGCCUGUGACGAACCGUGAGUGACGGUAAUGGGUAAAGAAGCAACGGCUAACUACGUG
RNAcentral lists this ribosomal RNA (468 nucleotides) under uncultured bacterium. Its description in RNAcentral is "partial 16S ribosomal RNA". It matches the Rfam family "Bacterial small subunit ribosomal RNA", at positions 28 to 507 of the family's 1533-position model. The record is from RNAcentral.